CCCAUAGGGUCUCUGGACCAUGUGGAAAAAUUCACUGUUGUAUUUCCACUUUGCAUCAGCCACCACCAGGAAGAGUCUCUCCUGGUUUGGCCUGGCUGGUGCUGGGACACAAGGCUUCCGAACCUCCGUUUCUGCCGUGAAAAGAAAAGGAUGGGAAGAGAGGUGAAGAAAGAAGGAAAAAAGUGUUUAGGUGCAACCUGUUACAAAGGGAAUAAAAUCGAGAGAAAAAGAAGAAAAAGUAAUGGAGUCAAAUGCAAUGUGAGAGAUGGGAAUGGACAAAAAUCCUGCCACUUCCAGGAUUCCGUCUGGAACUCUGAAGCUAGAGCAGUGGUAACCAUGGAUGAGGUUCAAAGCAUCCU
This is a long non-coding RNA of Herpailurus yagouaroundi (jaguarundi), 359 nucleotides long. RefSeq lists it as uncharacterized. Lineage: Eukaryota; Metazoa; Chordata; Mammalia; Carnivora; Felidae. The transcript has 3 exons. The record is from RefSeq and is a predicted model, not a curated record.